GAUGAACGCUAGCGGCAGGCCUAAUACAUGCAAGUCGAGGGGUAGAGGGGAGCUUGCUCUCCUUGAGACCGGCGCACGGGUGCGUAACGCGUAUGCAACCUACCUUCAUCAGGGGGAUAGCCCGAAGAAAUUCGGAUUAACACCGCAUAAAAUCACAGAACGGCAUUGUUCAAUGAUCGAACAUUCAUGGGAUGAAGAUGGGCAUGCGUGUCAUUAGCUUGUUGGCGGGGUAACGGCCCACCAAGGCGACGAUGACUAGGGGAUCUGAGAGGAUGGCCCCCCACACUGGUACUGAGACACGGACCAGACUCCUACGGGAGGCAGCAGUAAGGAAUAUUGGUCAAUGGAGGCAACUCUGAACCAGCCAUGCCGCGUGCAGGAAGACUGCCCUAUGGGUUGUAAACUGCUUUUAUCCCGGGAAUAAACCUCCCUAACGUGUAGGGAGCUGAAUGUAACCGGAAGAAUAAGGAUCGGCUAAC
This 479-nucleotide ribosomal RNA is filed under the name Bacteroidetes bacterium oral taxon 318. RNAcentral's name for it is "bacterial SSU rRNA". It matches the Rfam family "Bacterial small subunit ribosomal RNA", at positions 28 to 501 of the family's 1533-position model. Lineage: Bacteria; Pseudomonadati; Bacteroidota. The record is from RNAcentral.